Molecule: non-coding RNA, 30 nt
Filed under: Mus musculus (house mouse)
Lineage: Eukaryota; Metazoa; Chordata; Mammalia; Rodentia; Muridae
Source: RNAcentral
UCAAACAGGGUGUCAUAUAGCCCAGGAUGG